Molecule: ribosomal RNA, 253 nt
Filed under: uncultured bacterium
Lineage: Bacteria
Description: partial 16S ribosomal RNA
Rfam family: Bacterial small subunit ribosomal RNA
Source: RNAcentral
UACAGAGGUCUCAAGCGUUGUUCGGAUUCAUUGGGCGUAAAGGGUGCGUAGGCGGCGCGGUAAGUCGGGUGUGAAAUCUCGGGGCUUAACUCCGAAACUGCAUUCGAUACUGCCGUGCUUGAGGACUGGAGAGGAGACUGGAAUUUACGGUGUAGCGGUGAAAUGCGUAGAUAUCGAGAGGAACACCUGCGGCGAAGGCGGGUUGCUGGGCCGACACUGACGCUGAUGCGCGAAAGCCAGGGGAGCGAACGGG